Molecule: ribosomal RNA, 892 nt
Filed under: uncultured crenarchaeote
Lineage: Archaea; Thermoproteati; Thermoproteota
Description: bacterial SSU rRNA
Rfam family: Archaeal small subunit ribosomal RNA
Source: RNAcentral
UUCCGGUUGAUCCUGCCGGACCCGACUGCUAUUUGGGUGAGAAUAAGCCAUGCGAGUCGAAUGGGAUUCCUAAAUUUCCCAUGGCAGACUGCUCAGUAACACAUGAUCAACUUACCCUAUAGAGAAAGAUAACCUCGGGAAACUGAGGAUAAUAUUUCAUAGUUGAAUCGGCUUGGAAAAGUUUUUCAAUUAAAGGAAUAAGAUAAAUGGUUCUUAUUUGCUAUAGGAUAGGAUCGUGGACGAUUACGGUUGUUGGUGAGGUAACGGCUCACCAAGCCGAUAAUCGAUAGGGGCCGUGAGAGCGGGAGCCCCGAGAUGGGUACUGAGACAACGACCCAGGCCUUACGAGGCGCAGCAGGCGCGGAACCUCCGCAAUACACGAAAGUGUGACGGGGUUACCCAAAGUGUUCAAUCUUGAACUGUGGUAGGUGAGUAAUGUUCCCUACUAGAAAGGAGAGGGCAAGGCUGGUGCCAGCCGCCGCGGUAAAACCAGCUCUUCAAGUGGUCGGGAUAAUUAUUGGGCUUAAAGUGUCCGUAGCCGGCUUAGUAAGUUCCUGGUAAAAUCGGGUAGCUUAACUAUCUGUAUGCUAGGAAUACUGCUAAACUAGAGGGCGGGAGAGGUCUGAGGUACUACAGGGGUAGGGGUGAAAUCUUAUAAUCCUUGUAGGACCGCCAGUGGCGAAGGCGUCAGACUGGAACGUGCCCGACGGUGAGGGACGAAAGCCAGGGGAGCGAACCGGAUUAGAUACCCGGGUAGUCCUGGCCGUAAACGAUGCAUACUAGGUGAUGGCGUGGCCAUGAGCCGUGUCAGUGCCGUAGGGAAACCGUUAAGUGUGCCGCCUGGGAAGUACGGUCGCAAGGCUAAAACUUAAAGGAAUUGGCGGGGGAGCAC